UCUCCGUUGGUGAACCAGCGGAGGGAUCAUUGCUGGAACAAACGCCCUCACGGGUGCUACCCAGAAACCCUUUGUGAACUUAUACCUUACUGUUGCCUCGGCGCAUGCUGGCCCCCUCGGGGUCCCUUGGAGACAAGGAGCAGGCACGCCGGCGGCCAAGUUAACUCUUGUUUUUACACUGAAACUCUGAGAAAAAACACAAAUGAAUCAAAACUUUCAACAACGGAUCUCUUGGUUCUGGCAUCGAUGAAGAACGCAGC
This 260-nucleotide unclassified non-coding RNA is filed under the name uncultured fungus. Its description in RNAcentral is "sequence contains ITS1, 5.8S rRNA gene". The stretch from base 212 to 260 matches the Rfam family "5.8S ribosomal RNA", at positions 1 to 49 of the family's 154-position model. The record is from RNAcentral. Lineage: Eukaryota; Fungi.